RNAcentral lists this ribosomal RNA (743 nucleotides) under uncultured bacterium. Its description in RNAcentral is "bacterial SSU rRNA". It matches the Rfam family "Bacterial small subunit ribosomal RNA", at positions 94 to 823 of the family's 1533-position model. The record is from RNAcentral.
AGCGGCGGACGGGUGAGUAACACGUGGGUAACCUGCCCAAGAGACUGGGAUAACACCUGGAAACAGAUGCUAAUACCGGAUAACAACACUAGACGCAUGUCUAGAGUUUGAAAGAUGGUUCUGCUAUCACUCUUGGAUGGACCUGCGGUGCAUUAGCUAGUUGGUAAGGUAACGGCUUACCAAGGCAAUGAUGCAUAGCCGAGUUGAGAGACUGAUCGGCCACAUUGGGACUGAGACACGGCCCAAACUCCUACGGGAGGCAGCAGUAGGGAAUCUUCCACAAUGGACGAAAGUCUGAUGGAGCAACGCCGCGUGAGUGAAGAAGGGUUUCGGCUCGUAAAGCUCUGUUGGUAGUGAAGAAAGAUAGAGGUAGUAACUGGCCUUUAUUUGACGGUAAUUACUUAGAAAGUCACGGCUAACUACGUACCAGCAGCCGCGGUAAUACGUAGGUGGCAAGCGUUGUCCGGAUUUAUUGGGCGUAAAGCGAGUGCAGGCGGUUCAAUAAGUCUGAUGUGAAAGCCUUCGGCUCAACCGGAGAAUUGCAUCAGAAACUGUUGAACUUGAGUGCAGAAGAGGAGAGUGGAACUCCAUGUGUAGCGGUGGAAUGCGUAGAUAUAUGGAAGAACACCAGUGGCGAAAGCGGCUCUCUGGUCUGCAACUGACGCUGAGGCUCGAAAGCAUGGGUAGCGAACAGGAUUAGAUACCCUGGGUAGUCCAUGCCGUAAACGAUGAGUGCUAAGUGU